RNAcentral lists this ribosomal RNA (440 nucleotides) under uncultured bacterium. RNAcentral describes it as "partial 16S ribosomal RNA". It matches the Rfam family "Bacterial small subunit ribosomal RNA", at positions 338 to 795 of the family's 1533-position model. The record is from RNAcentral.
CCUACGGGAGGCAGCAGUGGGGGAUAUUGCACAAUGGGGUAAACCCUGAUGCAGCGACGCCGCGUGUGGGAAGACGGUCCUCUGGAUUGUAAACCACUGUCCCCAGGGACGAAGAUGACGGUACCUGGGGAGGAAGCUCCGGCUAACUACGUGCCAGCAGCCGCGGUAAUACGUAGGGAGCAAGCGUUGUCCGGAAUUACUGGGUGUAAAGGGAGCGUAGGCGGGAUGGCAAGUUGGGUAUUAAAUCUACCGGCUCAACUGGUAGUCGCACUCAAAACUGCUAUUCUUGAGUGAAGUAGAGGCAGGCGGAAUUCCGAGUGGAGGGGUGAAAUGCGUAGAUGUUAGGAGGAACAACAGUGGCGAAGGCGGCCUGCUGGGCUUUUACUGACGCUGAGGCUCGAAAGUGUGGGGAGCAAACAGGAUUAGAUACCCUUGUAGUC